RNAcentral lists this transfer RNA (87 nucleotides) under Elusimicrobiota bacterium. RNAcentral describes it as "Elusimicrobia bacterium (groundwater metagenome) tRNA-Ser". It matches the Rfam family "tRNA". From Rfam's summary of the family: Transfer RNA (tRNA) molecules are approximately 80 nucleotides in length. Their secondary structure includes four short double-helical elements and three loops (D, anti-codon, and T loops). Further hydrogen bonds mediate the characteristic L-shaped molecular structure. tRNAs have two regions of fundamental functional importance: the anti-codon, which is responsible for specific mRNA codon recognition, and the 3' end, to which the tRNAs corresponding amino acid is attached (by aminoacyl-tRNA synthetases). tRNAs cope with the degeneracy of the genetic code in two manners: having more than one tRNA (with a specific anti-codon) for a particular amino acid; and 'wobble' base-pairing, i.e. permitting non-standard base-pairing at the 3rd anti-codon position. The record is from RNAcentral. Lineage: Bacteria; Pseudomonadati; Elusimicrobiota.
GGAGGGGUGGCCGAGCGGUUUAAGGCGACGCUCUUGAAAAGCGUUAGACGGGAAACCGUCUCGUGGGUUCGAAUCCCACCCCCUCCG